RNAcentral lists this ribosomal RNA (465 nucleotides) under uncultured bacterium. RNAcentral's name for it is "partial 16S ribosomal RNA". It matches the Rfam family "Bacterial small subunit ribosomal RNA", at positions 338 to 795 of the family's 1533-position model. The record is from RNAcentral.
CCUACGGGCGGCAGCAGUAGGGAAUCUUCCACAAUGGACGAAAGUCUGAUGGAGCAACGCCGCGUGAGUGAAGAAGGGUUUCGGCUCGUAAAGCUCUGUUGGUAGUGAAGAAAGAUAGAGGUAGUAACUGGCCUUUAUUUGACGGUACUUACUUAGAACGUCACGGCUAACUACGUGCCAGCAGCCGCGGUAAUACGUAGGUGGCAAGCGUUGUCCGGAUUUAUUGGGCGUAAAGCGAGUGCAGGCGGGUCAAUAAGUCUGAUGUGAAAGCCUUCGGCUCAACCGGAGAAUUGCAUCAGAAACUGUUGGACUUGAGUGCAGAAGAGGAGGGUGGAACUCCAUGUGUAGCGGUGGAAUGCGUAGAUAUAUGGAAGAACACCAGUGGCGAAGGCGACUCUCUGGUCUGCAACUGACGCUGAGGCUCGAAAGCAUGGGUAGCGAACAGGAUUAGAUACCCGUGUAGUC